AAGGGCAUCGUGGUAUAAUCGUCGAGGUACCGCAGGACCUAAGAGAUCGAAUGGAAGGGUACAUAGACAAGUAAAUCCCUUAUGACACUCCUUUAAUUUUAAUUUAAGAGGAUUCAGCAUUCGAGGGGAAGUAGACUACUCAAGAAUUUCACAUUUCAUUUAUGUCCUAAUUUUGAAUUGAAUAAAGAAUUAAGAAAAUCUAAAUCAAUAAA
RNAcentral lists this long non-coding RNA (212 nucleotides) under Gossypium barbadense (sea-island cotton). Its description in RNAcentral is "long non-coding RNA (GBAR_LNC018691)". Lineage: Eukaryota; Viridiplantae; Streptophyta; Magnoliopsida; Malvales; Malvaceae. The record is from RNAcentral.